GUUGAACGCUGGCGGCAGGCCUAACACACGCAAGUCGAGCGGAUGAAGGGAGCUUGCUCCUGGAUUCAGCGGCGGACGGGUGAGUAAUGCCUAGGAAUCUGCCUGGUAGGGGGGGAUAACGUCCGGAAACGGGCGCUAAUACCGCAUACGUCCUGAGGGAGAAAGAGGGGGAUCUUCGGACCUCUCGCUAGCAGAAGAGCCUAGGUCGGAUUAGAUAGUUGGUGGGGUAAAGGCCUACCAAGGCGACGAUCCGUAACUGGUCUGAGAGGCUGAUCAGUCACACUGGAACUGAGACACGGUCGAGACUCCUACGGGAGGACGCAGUGGGGAAUAUUGGACAAUGGGGGAAAGGCUGAUCCAGCCAUGUCGGGUGUGUCAAGAAGGUCUUCGGAUUGGAAAGCACUUUAAGUUGGGAGGAAGGGCAGUAAGUUAAUACCUUGCUGUUUUGACGGUACCAACAGAAUAAGCACCGGCUAACUACGUG
This 484-nucleotide ribosomal RNA is filed under the name uncultured bacterium. RNAcentral's name for it is "partial 16S ribosomal RNA". It matches the Rfam family "Bacterial small subunit ribosomal RNA", at positions 28 to 507 of the family's 1533-position model. The record is from RNAcentral.